UAAACUUGCGGAAGGACCAUUG
Molecule: ribosomal RNA, 22 nt
Filed under: Cycas thouarsii
Lineage: Eukaryota; Viridiplantae; Streptophyta; Cycadopsida; Cycadales; Cycadaceae
Description: partial 18S rRNA
Source: RNAcentral